AUGGAGUCAAGCUUAGCUAUGGCGACGACGCCGCCGCCCCACCGGCCGCCGCUUGUGCUCUUAUCCCUGCUGCUGCUCCUCCUCCAUCCCUUCUUCUCCGCCGCAGCGCCGUCUAUCACCACCAAAGCCGUGCCGCGGCUGCCCGGUUUCAGCGGACCCCUGCCCUUCUCCCUCGAAACAGGGUACGUGGGGCUGGACGACGGCGCCCAACUCUUCUACUACUUCAUCCAGUCGGAGAACGACCCGGAGGAGGACCCCGUCCUUCUCUGGCUCACGGGCGGGCCCGGUUGCUCCGCCCUCUCAGGCCUCGCCUACGAGAUCGGCCCUUUCAACUUUGACUUCCAUGGCUACAUGGGAGGCCUGCCUACUCUGCUCUACCAGCCAUCGUCUUGGGCAAAGGUUAGCAACAUCAUCUUCGUGGAUUCUCCGGUAGGAACAGGCUUCUCAUAUGCGACCGGAGACAAGAGAACCAUACAAAGUGACACAAUUGUUGUUCAGCAGCUGCACAUUUUCCUUGAAACGUGGUUUGAUGAACAUCCGCAGUUCUUGCCAAAUCCACUCUAUAUUUCAGGUGAUUCAUAUAGCGGCUUAAUCAUACCUUCUCUUGCUAUGAAAAUUGCUAAAGGGAUAGAACUCGGCAAUGAGCGACUCAUUAAUCUCAAGGGUGUCAUUGCUGGCAAUCCAUUAACCGAUAACACGACGACCUUCAACGCUCGAGUUCCAUUUCUUCAUGGGAUGGGAAUUAUACCAGAUGAACUCUACGAGGCUGCUCGUGAAAGCUGCGGGGGGGAAUACCGUUGGGCAUCGAACGCCCACUGUGCCGAUUCCCUCCAAGCCAUCCAAGAGUGCAUGAGGGGUUUAAACACUGUACACGUCUUGGAGCCAGCGUGUGAAGAAUAUCCAAGCCUCACCAUUCACAAGCAGCAGCCGUUGCAAGACCAUGGGAGGAAAAUGCUAACAGAGUCCGCAUUUUCGUCCGUGUGCAGGAAUGCCACAUACUUCCUAUCCGAGUUAUGGACAAAUGACGAAGCUGUAAGGGAGAGUCUGGGUAUUCACAAGGGAACAGUUCCAUCAUGGCUACGAUGUGAUGUCAAUCUACCUUACACACAUGAAAUCACCAGCGCGGUAGAUGAUCAUGCAGCCCUGAUUACUAGAGGAUACCGGGCUAUGAUAUAUAGUGGAGACCAUGACCCUAAAGUAUCUUAUGUUGACACCCAAGCAUGGAUCAGACGACUUAAGCUGCCCAUCACAGAUCCUUGGCGACCAUGGCAUGUGGACGACCAAAUCGUGGGAUACACAAGAACUUUCUCUAACAAUCUGACAUACGCAACUGUAAAGGGUGCCGGACACACAGCCCCAGAGUACAUGCCAAGGGAGUGUCUUGCUAUGAUCGAUAGAUGGCUUUCCGGUGAGCCUCUCUGA
Molecule: ribosomal RNA, 1422 nt
Filed under: Triticum aestivum (bread wheat)
Lineage: Eukaryota; Viridiplantae; Streptophyta; Magnoliopsida; Poales; Poaceae
Description: partial small subunit ribosomal RNA
Source: RNAcentral